Molecule: long non-coding RNA, 1169 nt
Organism: Pezoporus occidentalis (night parrot)
Lineage: Eukaryota; Metazoa; Chordata; Aves; Psittaciformes; Psittacidae
Exons: 2
Source: RefSeq, a predicted model, not a curated record
AGAAUUUGGUUUUAAACAAUAUAAUAAUAUGCUAUUUCAGAACAGAGAUGCACUAAGAUUACCUUUAAACAAACAAAUAUAUAUUGGCAUUUUAAGACUGCUUUUCUUUCAAGUUCCAUAUAAUAUGACCCUGUGUCAUGAUAUUCAUGGGUUUUGAUUCUGGAUUUAAUAUAAACAACAUGUUCUUAAACUACUGCAAAUUUCAACCUUCAAAGGAGAUACUGCUUUAAAAAUAAAGACCAUGAGGAACUUGAAGCAGAGGAGUACUCAAGAUUUAUACUGCUGUGAUUUUACAAGUGCUUUUAUAUUCACAAGAUUUGGCAUGUGGGGGGAAGAUAUUUCUGUUAUUCAGUCAAUGUCACACUUAACAAUUUAGAAAGGUAAGCAGUAGGUGGUCAACCUUCAAAGCACUUGAAAACAAUUAGAUUUGGAUCCUGAGCUAUGUACCUGGCUUCACUGGUGCCCUCACAUGCCCUAAAAGAUGUAACAUAUUACUUAUCAAAGUCAUUUCCUUAUGAAACACAGAAAAAAAGCAUGUUAGGCCUUAAAGUGUGGCUCUAAUAUACCAUAUUUCACUUUUGAAGAGCAUAAACAUUCUAGAAGCAUUCUCCUAAUUUGUUUGGUUUUAUUUUUUAAAAGACCUAUCUUUAAACACUAAAACAAAGAUCUCUUUGUACUUAACUAUGCUAACAUACACCUCUGGUUUGCAGUUUCUUGGCAUUCUUCAGGGAUUUAGGUACUUUGAGUAGUUUGAUGCAGGAAUCAGGUUGCCUCUGGUCAUCUUUUUCUGCUUACCUAUUGUGAUUUUGUUUAUGGUCCCAUGAAUAUGAAUGCAUCUUGGGAAAAUGUGUUUUGAGAAGACACUGAUGGGAUAGAUUGCCACUCCAAUGGUUAGUUCAGUGCAAAAAAAUGUUGUUUCUUUCUUUUCAAAACUGUGGAGAUGGUUAUGUGCUGAACCAGCAGUCUUUGUUGCAUCAGAGCCUUUUCCACAUGUACGAGUAAAGAUUAGAGAAGGAAGAAACAGGAAAGCGUGAAAAUUGAGAGGAGAAUGGGAAAAGGUAAGGGAUUAAAUGUGUAGAACAUGGUUAGCUGAGGUGAGCAGUUUAAACUUCAUGUAAUAAGCAGAUUCAAAAGAGUAAGUAAGGUGACAUAAUAGUGGCAAAGAAAAA